GACGUAGGGCGCGAGCGUUGUCCGGAAUUAUUGGGCGUAAAGAGCUCGUAGGCGGUCUGUCGCGUCGGUCGUGAAAACUUGGGGCUUAACCCUGAGCUUGCGGUCGAUACGGGCAUGACUGGAGUUCGGUAGGGGAGACUGGAAUUCCUGGUGUAGCGGUGAAAUGCGCAGAUAUCAGGAGGAACACCGGUGGCGAAGGCGGGUCUCUGUGCCGAUACUGACGCUGAGGAGCGAAAGCGUGGGGAGCGAACAGG
RNAcentral lists this ribosomal RNA (254 nucleotides) under uncultured bacterium. RNAcentral's name for it is "partial 16S ribosomal RNA". It matches the Rfam family "Bacterial small subunit ribosomal RNA", at positions 524 to 776 of the family's 1533-position model. The record is from RNAcentral.